Molecule: ribosomal RNA, 468 nt
Filed under: uncultured bacterium
Lineage: Bacteria
Description: partial 16S ribosomal RNA
Rfam family: Bacterial small subunit ribosomal RNA
Source: RNAcentral
GACGAACGCUGGCGGUGUGCUUAACACAUGCAAGUCGAACGGUAAGGCCCUUUCGGGGGUCCACGAGUGGCGCACGGGUGAGUAACACGUGAGUAACCUGCCCUCAUCUCUGGGAUAACAGUCGGAAACGGUUGCUAAUACUGGAUAUGAGCUUGCAAGGCAUCUUGUGGGUUGGAAAGAUUUUUUUUGGUUGGGGAUGGACUCGCGGCCUAUCAGCUUGUUGGUGAGGUAGUGGCUCACCAAGGCUUCGACGGGUAGCCGGCCUGAGAGGGCGACCGGCCACAUUGGGACUGAGAUACGGCCCAAACUCCUACGGGAGGCAGCAGUGGGGAAUAUUGCACAAUGGACGGAAGUCUGAUGCAGCAACGCCGCGUGCGGGAUGACGGCCUUCGGGUUGUAAACCGCUUUCAAUUGUGACGAAGCUUUUUUGUGACGGUAGCAGUAGAAGAAGCACCGGCUAACUACGUG